GAAAGUCCCCGUGGGUACAACAGAAGACAAUCGGUGAUAAGCUUGCAGCCUGGGAUGAGUUCCAACAAAUUCUUUGUUACCAUAUAAAUGCAUUGGCCAUGUGUGUAAGUUGUACAGCACUGCUGAAUAUGCUGGUAUUUUAUAAACUAUGCUAUUAAGUCAUUUAUUAAGUAACAGAAUCUGUCUUUGCUUGAUAAUGAAGGUAUCAAUAACAAAUUCUUUCAUGUUUUCAGUUUACAAAGACUGAUGAAAAUCCUGCUAUCCUGGAAGAAAUAACAAGAUAUUUCAGUAACCUCAAUGAGAUUGUCCAAAAGCAGGUAUUAAUAAUGUUUGCAAAUACUUUCUGGCCAACCCCGUCUCCACCCCUAAUUCCAGCAUCUUCUAGUUCAGGAUAAGUUUCCCACGCGCAUUUAUUCUCAGCAAGUGACAUAACGAGUCAAAACAAUCCUACAGCUGAGGAUAGUGUCAGACAUAGCAUUGUCUCCCCAUUUGCCUUCCCCAAAUUCUACCUUCUCUACUUUUACCAUUUGUAUAAUAAUUUCUCUAUUCUUCUCUGCAGGGUGAUACAGCGUGUGCUCGUACUAUCGCUACAGCUAAAAUUCAGGAGAUUUUACUACGGGUUGAUCUACUUUACUCUUUAAUGAGAAGAUGGAAUCUGAGAAAGCAACAUCGCGUCUAACUUCUAACUCUUAGAUACAGAGAUGUUCGUGGCAUUCUUACACGGGAUUCCAAAAGGAUCUCACAAUCAAAAUCACAUAGUCAUUAAGGGACCAUGAACCAAAGACUAUGAACUGAACAGUGGACAAGAAAUAUGAAUAUAACACGUACAACCGAGAAUUAUCUCGCAAUAUUUCUUACUCUGAGAAUGCUACUUUGAGA
Molecule: non-coding RNA, 879 nt
Organism: Pelobates cultripes (western spadefoot toad)
Lineage: Eukaryota; Metazoa; Chordata; Amphibia; Anura; Pelobatidae
Source: the annotation of a GenBank genome assembly